RNAcentral lists this ribosomal RNA (205 nucleotides) under uncultured bacterium. RNAcentral describes it as "partial 16S ribosomal RNA". It matches the Rfam family "Bacterial small subunit ribosomal RNA", at positions 568 to 774 of the family's 1533-position model. The record is from RNAcentral.
CGCGCAGGCGGUCGUGUAAGUCGAAUGUGAAAGCCCCCGGCUCAACUGGGGAGGGUCAUUCGAUACUGCUCGACUCGAAGGCAGGAGAGGGAAGCGGAAUUCCCGGUGUAGUGGUGAAAUGCGUAGAUAUCGGGAGGAACACCAGUGGCGAAGGCGGCUUCUGGCCUGUUCUUGAUGCUGAGGCGCGAAAGCUAGGGAGCAAACG